AUCCUGGCUCAGGACGACGCUGGCGGCGUGCCUAACACAUGCAAGUCGAACGAAGCUUGACGAAAGAUCUCUUCGGAGUGAAUUCAGAUAUGACUGAGUGGCGGACGGGUGAGUAACGCGUGAGCAACCUGCCCUUCGGAGGGGGAUAGUGUCUGGAAACGGACAGUAAUACCGCAUAACGUUAAGACAAGGCAUCUUGACAUAACCAAAGAUUUAUCGCCGAAGGAUGGGCUCGCGUCUGAUUAGAUAGUUGGUGGGGUAACGGCCUACCAAGUCGACGAUCAAUAGCCGGACUGAGAGGUUGAUCGGCCACAUUGGGACUGAGACACGGCCCAGACUCCUACGGGAGGCAGCAGUGGGGAAUAUUGCACAAUGGGCGCAAGCCUGAUGCAGCAACGCCGCGUGGAGGAAGACGGUUUUCGGAUUGUAAACUCCUGUUCUUAGGGAAGAAGACAGUGACGGUACCUAAGGAGAAAGCCACGGCUAACUACGUGCC
RNAcentral lists this ribosomal RNA (496 nucleotides) under uncultured organism. RNAcentral describes it as "SSU rRNA". It matches the Rfam family "Bacterial small subunit ribosomal RNA", at positions 16 to 509 of the family's 1533-position model. The record is from RNAcentral.